CCUACGGGAGGCAGCAGUGGGGAAUAUUGGACAAUGGGCGAAAGCCUGAUCCAGCAAUGCCGCGUGAGUGAUGAAGGCCUUAGGGUUGUAAAGCUCUUUUACCAGGGAUGAUAAUGACAGUACCUGGAGAAUAAGCUCCGGCUAACUCCGUGCCAGCAGCCGCGGUAAUACGGAGGGAGCUAGCGUUAUUCGGAAUUACUGGGCGUAAAGCGUACGUAGGCGGUUAUUCAAGUCAGAGGUGAAAGCCCGGGGCUCAACCCCGGAACUGCCUUUGAAACUAGAUAACUAGAGUCUUGGAGAGGUUAGUGGAAUUCCGAGUGUAGAGGUGAAAUUCGUAGAUAUUCGGAAGAACACCAGUGGCGAAGGCGACUAACUGGACAAGUACUGACGCUGAGGUACGAAAGCGUGGGGAGCAAACAGGAUUAGAUACCCUGGUAGUCCACGCCGUAAACGAUGAUAACUAGCUGUCCGGGCACUUGGUGCCUGGGUGGCGCAACUAACGCAUUAAGUUAUCCGCCUGGGGAGUCGUCGCAGAUAAACUUAAAGUAAUAGACGCGNGAGANGCGAGACGACACGAGGAGAG
This 583-nucleotide ribosomal RNA is filed under the name uncultured bacterium. RNAcentral describes it as "bacterial SSU rRNA". It matches the Rfam family "Bacterial small subunit ribosomal RNA", at positions 338 to 948 of the family's 1533-position model. The record is from RNAcentral.